GGGGAGCGUGACGCAGGGAGGAGGGAAGGGACAAAAGGAGCCGGGAGGCGGCGGGGCCGGCGGCGCUCCCACUUCUCCGUCCCUCCUCCUCCCUCGGCCGGGGCCCGUUUCUCUCUCUUCGCUCCGUUUUCCCUCGUUCCUCCACCUCUGCUCCCUGUCCUUCUCUCUGCCUGCCUCCUUGCCCUGUGCAUUCUCUCCUCUCUCCUCUUCCUCCUUACACCUCCGCCCCAUCGGGGUCUGCUCCUCUCCUCUCUCUCUCCCAGCCUCCUUCCCCUCCCUCCGCUUGGGUCUCUCCACCCACCCAACCACCCAUUGGGGCCUCAGAGGUGAAUCAGACCCGUAUCUGCCCUUGCAGACGCGGAGCUCACGGUCUGAUGGAGGAGACAGACGCAGCGCAGACAGUUUCAAUCCAGGGUGAUCGGGGUACGACAGAGGGGAGACCAGCGGCUGUUCGAUCCCAGGGGCAGAAGGAAUCCUUUUAGCUGGAGACAUCUGAAAGGACCUCCAGAGAAGGCAGUGGUUGUGGCCUGACCUCCAAGAACUGGGAGAAGUUAAAUCUGAAUUGUCGAGAUAGAGGCAGGCAGCAGUAAGGGCGGUCCAGGCAGAGGGCACGGCUUAAGCAGAGGCCCAAAGGCAGGAAACCAGGGGCGAUUCCGGGAGAACAGCACAGCAGUCAAGUCCGACGGGAGCCUUAGAGGACAGGAGCCAAGGAGCAUAGAAGAUGAGGCUGAGGUGGUGGGCGGGGCCAGGUUCGCAAGCGCUCUGAAGGCCAGACUGGGGACUUUCUCCUGCGGGUGAUGGGGAGCCACAGAGGGUUGUGAGCAAGGGGGAGGGGCAGGGUCUGAUCUGGGAGUCAGAAGGCCCUCUCUGGGGCCCUGUGGGGGACGGAUAAAGGACGAAAGAGUGGUGGAGGCUGGGAGAGUGGGGAGGAGGAUGCGUGAGCUGGGGCUGGGACCCUGCAGGCAGAGAGGAGAGGAUGGGGCAGAGAAUGUGAGGAGGCAGGAGGGACUGGGGACUGACAGCCUGUGGGGGGUGACAGGGAGGGAAGAAGUGAAAAAGAUACAACAACCGGGAGUCCGUCUGGCCCAGGAAAUGAGGGGACAAGAGUUGUUCCCAGGGGGGAACCGGGAGGAAGAAGGAAGAUGCUGUGCACAGCUUGGAACUUAGUGGACAUUAGGGGCCUGGGGGCAUUUCGAGAAGACACUCAGGCAAUGGUGGAUAUAGGUUCUGGGGCUCUAACAAUGACAAAUGCAUUUCCCUCCCACCCUGUCCCCUGGCCACCCAGUUCUUUCUGGGGACGUCUUAUGCUUACCAAUUUCUUGUGUGUCUUUCCAGUAGAAUUCUAUACCUAUGCACAUGUGUUAUACCAUUCUCCUUCUAUUUCUGUCCCCAAAUGGGAUCACAUUAUUCUACACUUUGCUUUUUUAACACUAUAUCCUGAAGAUUCCCCUAUAUCCAUGCGUAUAGAACUACCACAUUCAUUUUAGUGGCUGCAUAGUAUUUCAUUGUAUACAUUUAUUUAUCCAUACUUAUUCAAUCAAUUGGGAGCUUUUUUUUACAUAAAGAAACUAAUGCUUAUGCAUAUGCAGAUUACUGAGGAUUUUUGUUUUUUACUGAUUUCUUCCAAUGCUCUUAAGCCUCUGGACCCAAGUUUUGACAAAUACUUACUUCUAGGUCUUUUAAAAUUUAUUAGUAUUUACUAAUGAUAGGAAUAAUAAUAAUCAAUACACAUACCGUUUAUUGAAUGUCUACUUGGGGACAGGCCCUAGGUUGGGUAUUGGUUAUACAUUAUAUCAUUCAAUCAUCACAACAAUCUUAUUUUUAGGGGCUGUUAUUAUCUCCAUCUAAGGAUGGGGCAACUGAGGUUCUGCAUAGUGAGUUGCCCAAGCUUACAAAGCGAGUAGCAGAGCCAGGAUUCGAACUCAGGCCUCUGUGGCUCCACAUUCCAUGCCCUUUCUUUGGAGGUGGGCUGCCUCCAUGAAAAUGUGGAACUACUUGAAAUUGACAUUGGGCACAUGGGAGACUUGCCAUGCACACAAAUCUGCACCUUGACUUGGUAUCUAGAAUCACCCUGCGUUCACCCCAGAUGCCCCAUAGUGAGGUCAGGACGGUAACCACACCAUUCUGCUGUCUCUGUCCUGGGCUUGAUGCCGCUGUGUUGUGAUUCUGGGUGUCGGUCUGUCUGGGAAUUCUAUGAGGGCACGCUGUCCGGCUGAGUCAUCUCUUUCCUCAGUAUCGCUCAGCUUAGGGUGUGGCUCAAAGCAGAGGCUCAGGAAAAUGUUUGCUAAAUGAAUGAACGGAGGGAUAGAUGAAUAACAAAUGGGUUGUGGGUUAGGCUGGGACUUGCUGAAGCCUCUGGGAUAAGAGAACAUAAUUCCCGUUAGUUCCUGAAACAUAAGGGUUACAUUCCUAUUGGUUAGUGAGUCACUGGGGCCACUGUUUCCAUCAUUCUCUGGUAUCCAGGGUUCACAAAUCCCUCGGCACCUAAGACUCAGCUACUGCAGUUCCCACAAAUCCCUGAGACUCUGGAUCCACCAUUCCCAGCAGCCCCCGUGGCUCAAGAUCCGCUAUUCCCAUCAGCCCCUGAGACUCAGGAUCCGCCAUUCCUGUCAGCCCUGGAGACACAAGGGCCACCAUUCCCAUCAGACACUGGCACACAAGUACUGCUUGCAAUUCCCAUACCCCUAAGAUACAGGGACCACCAUUUCUAUCCAUGCCUGAGACACAAGUUCCACCAUUCUUAUACCCUGGAACAACAUGUCAAUGGAAAACAGAAGCAUUCUGCCCUUUACCAGGCCGUCCCCAAGUUCCUGGGACUGUUAACCAGGAAGACACUUCUGCCUGCCCUUGGGUAGGUCUGAGUCACCUGUCAAUGCUGUAGACAAGGAGGCACCAGCUCAUGAAGAACAUCAAAGCAGAGAAUCUUCCACGUGAGGGAUCAGCCUGAAACCCGAGAUAAUCCUACAGCACCACCAGAGAAUCCUUCCAGGAACAGAAUUGUACUGUAUGCAGCAAGGCAGUGAAGAGCACAGACUCUGAAGCCAGAUUGCCCGGGUUUGAAUCCUGGCUCAGCUAUUCCACCAGCUGUGUCUCUUUAUGCCUCAGUUUUGUCAUCCCUGAAAUGGGAGAGAGAGAUUUGAAGAUACAGAGGAGACCCACAGGGAGGAAGGCCAUGUGACAACGGAGGCAGAGACUGGAGUGAUGCGUCUCCAAGCCGAGGACUGCUGGACCAUCAGAAGCUAGAAGAGGGGAGGAAGGAGCCUUCAGAAGGAGCUGAUACCUUCAUUUCUGACUUCUGGCCUCCACAACUGGGAGAGAAUCGAUUUCUGUUGUUUCAAGCCACCCAGUUUAUGAUAAUUUGUUAUGGAAGUCCUAGGAAAGCAAUACAGGAUCUAUGUUAACCUA
Molecule: non-coding RNA, 3405 nt
Organism: Equus caballus (horse)
Lineage: Eukaryota; Metazoa; Chordata; Mammalia; Perissodactyla; Equidae
Source: RefSeq, a predicted model, not a curated record